GAUGAACGCUGGCGGCGUGCCUAAUACAUGCAAGUCGAGCGAACAGACGAGGAGCUUGCUCCUCUGACGUUAGCGGCGGACGGGUGAGUAACACGUGGAUAACCUACCUAUAAGACUGGGAUAACUUCGGGAAACCGGAGCCAAUACCGGAUAAUAUAUUGAACCGCAUGGUUCAAUAGUGAAAGACGGUUUUGCUGUCACUUAUAGAUGGAUCCGCGCCGCAUUAGCUAGUUGGUAAGGUAACGGCUUACCAAGGCAACGAUGCGUAGCCGACCUGAGAGGGUGAUCGGCCACACUGGAACUGAGACACGGUCCAGACUCCUACGGGAGGCAGCAGUAGGGAAUCUUCCGCAAUGGGCGAAAGCUUGACGGAGCAACGCCGCGUGAGUGAUGAAGGUCUUCGGAUCGUAAAACUCUGUUAUUAGGGAAGAACAAAUGUGUAAGUAACUAUGCACGUCUCGACGGUACCUAAUCAGAAAGCCACGGCUAACUACGUG
RNAcentral lists this ribosomal RNA (497 nucleotides) under uncultured bacterium. Its description in RNAcentral is "partial 16S ribosomal RNA". It matches the Rfam family "Bacterial small subunit ribosomal RNA", at positions 28 to 507 of the family's 1533-position model. The record is from RNAcentral.